RNAcentral lists this long non-coding RNA (4714 nucleotides) under Gossypium raimondii (Peruvian cotton). Its description in RNAcentral is "long non-coding RNA (GRAI_LNC001434)". The record is from RNAcentral. Lineage: Eukaryota; Viridiplantae; Streptophyta; Magnoliopsida; Malvales; Malvaceae.
ACGUCUUCUUGAAUAUGAAUUCUUCAUUCGGACUAUUCUUCAAUUAACCCGUGAACGCACAAAUUUUUUUUACGAACCUGAGGACAAACGCAAACACAUAUAACUCCAUUAACCUUUUAAGCAAAUAACUCAAAUCAGACUAAACCACUAAAUCGAUCUUGACCAUCAAACAAUAACUUUUCAAAGAAAUCAUUUCUUCUUGAUAUAAAGGAUAACCCAGACCUACUAUUUAUCACACUUCUUCCGAAUACAAUCAAUGAUCUUUGAAAUUUUUUUUUGCAUAACUCAAAUGAAGCAUAACAAUCCCAUUUUCAACUCAUUGACAUUUAUCAAGAUUACCUGGGAAUGAUAAUUGAUAUACAAAUUUGAGCUCGAUUUUUCACCGUUUACACUUUUGCAGAUGUCAAGCCUCUUUCAAGAAACUAGAAAGGAUUAUAUAAUAAAGCUAUCUCAACUAUUAAUUAUCGAAGCGUUGAACUAUACUAAGGCCACUUCCAUCAUAUAAGAAUCAUAAUGACAUAAUAAGACCAACGUCUGAACCGUAUAAAUAGGUAAAAUCCCAGCUGUUAAUAAUGCCUUUUGAACACAAAAGAAAAUCAAAUAUGGUUUCCUCAGCAACCAAUACAGAAACACAACCUCUAUAAUCUGAUGACGGUACCACUAUACUCCCGUGAUCAAACCAAAAAUUAUAAUCAUAAUAGAUAUAAUCAUCUUCGUUAGAAGAAUAUCUCUUGCAAUUAAUUACAUAGAAUCAUAGUAAAAUCAAGGUAGCGAAAUCUCAGAAUAUAGAGUUAUACAGAAUUUCUAAAAAUUAUAACCCAUAUAGAAUGAUAAAGAUCUCGAUGAUAUCCCAAGAAAUUUCUAGAAGGAAGAACAACACUCAUAAACGUUGAAAUUAACGAUGACAAAAGUAAUAUAAUCUUCAUAUAUAUAUUCAACAGAACAAUAACCAGUAGAAACAUAAUACUAGCAAUCAUACAAAUUUUACCGUCGACUUUUCUAUCAACACAAUGGAAUAGAAUACGAGAAAAAAAUAGAGUAAUGCCGAUCAUAAACCAUAUAGACCACAAUACUUUCGUCUAACAGUAUGUUUAACUAACGUUCUCAUACGAUAAGGAUUCCUUAUGAAAUUAAACAGUCACAUAUACUUCUGAGAAUAAAUGUACACAUAGAAUGCUCAGAAGAAACCAUAAUAACUUUUCGACUAUAACCACAAAACUCAACUAUCAUUUCAAUUCAAACAUUAUUCCAUUGUCUAAUUCUGUCAUCACUAAUUUCACAUUAUCCCAUCACUAAUAGAAAUCAAUUCAGAAGAACUUCCAGUUAAUACAUUCUUUAGAUAUCAUACCUGAAUAUUUUGUUUCUUAGAAGUCAACUUCUUCUUUAACAAUGACUUUGCACAAUCUGCAUAACUUUCAAUACAAUCUGAUUCUUUUCUAGUGUUGUCCAUACUUGCUGACUCAUUCUCUUAUCUAACUACUGUAUUAAUCCUUCAACCACAGAACUCUGUAAUUCCACACUUGUGAGCUUAUUUAAUCUAAAUGUUACUGAUUUCAUUGUAAUACCUUACUAAUGAGGGGGUGAGGGUCGUAAAGCCUCAACUUUAACUCUCACAUAUACAUGCACAUACUAUAACAUUUAUUAAUAACACAAUAUUAUGAACUUUUAUUCAUUCCUUUAUGAGUUUCAACUCAACAUAAUCACAUUUUCACUUAAACAUUUGAGUACCACUUUCUGCUCUAUCAGAAUUAGCUCGGUUGGAAAACACAUCUGUCAAAUUAAAAUAACUCUCGUCAAAAUCGAGAGAUAUCACACUAUCACAGGUUAAAUAUGAAAUGUAUAGCUAGACUCACAUAUGCUACAUUAGUCCUAGAAUCGACUAAAUCGUAGCUCUGAUACCAAUAAAAUGUAACACCCUUAACCCGUAUCCAUCACUAAAACAGGGUUAUGGAGCAUUACCAUACCUAUCGGACAAUUUACAAUCAAUAUGAAAACCAACACAUUUACACAUUCAAACCUAUUUAAAACAUGCCUUUUAUAAGUAAAUACUCAUCAUAUACCAAAUGACCAAAUGGUCAUCUUGAAUCAUCACCAAAACCUUUAUCAAACAGACUCAAGCCUAUACAUGCCAUAUAACCAAUAUCACAAAGCUUAUAAAUACCAAACCAUAGCUGGAUAGUGUGAUGAGAUCUCUGACGACUUCCAACCCGAGCAAGCCUCUGAAACUCUAUAAACAUAGGAAAAAAAACAAAGUAAGCUAUAAAGCUUAGUAAGCUCGUAUGGAAAUAAACUCAUGUUAUUAACUAACAGCAUUAAAAACAAUUAUUCAAAAUAUGAUAUAAUUCAUAUUUUUUUACACCAUUCUAUUUCAAAUUCAUGCACAUAGUUAAUCCAUAUUUUCAUGAGUUUAUUCAUUCAAAACACGUAUAGUUUGAAUACUUCUUAUCAUUUCAUUCACAUUUUCAUAUGCAUAAGCAAUUAUAUAUAUACUUUAUUUAAUUCAAUAUUCAUUAUAUACCAAAUUACCUUCAUUUAAUUAUCAUUUAGGUUCUGUACGUAUCUAUAUCACUUAAUUCGAUUGUACUUUCAUUCUCGUCUUGACCCUGCCCGUUGAACCAUUCGAAAUUGUUAAGGAUACUCAGAAUUCAUUAUACCUCGUACAAUGCCAUAUCCCAGACAAGGUCUUAUACGAAAUCAUAUAAUGAUGCCAAUGUCCCAGACAUGGACUUAAACGUAAUCACAGUACAAUGCCAAUGUCCCAGACAUGGUCUUACAUGUUAUCACAUAUCAAUGCCACUGUCCCAGACAGGGUCUUAUACGAAAUCAUAUAAUGAUGCCAAUGUCCUAGACAUGGUCUUAUACGUAAUCACAAUACAAUGCCAAUGUCCCAGACAUGGUCUUACAUGUUAUCACAUAUCGAUGCCACUGUCCCAGACAGGGUCUUAUACAAAAUCAUAUAACAAUGCCAAUGUCCCAGACAUGGUCUUAUACAUAAUCACAGUACAAUGCCAAUGUCCUAGACAUGGUCUUACAUGUUAUCACAUAUCGGUAACCCUAAAGUCAUGGCAUUUGUAUUAUAUUCUAUUCCUAAGGUUCAUACGGGACAUUUGGACGUCGUAACUCAGUCGAUUUCAGCUCGUAUUCAUGACCAUUCAUCAUUCAAUUCAAUUCAAUAAUAAUUAAGCAUUUAUAACAAAAUUUAAAUAUGUUACUAGAAUACGAACUUACCACGUUUGCUGUAAUGACGAAUUAGGUCGACUAAUCCGAUACUUUGUUUUCCCCCGUUCUAGUUCCGAAUCUCAUUUUUUUAUCAAUCUAUAUAAUAACAAAAUUUUCUUAUUAAAUCAUUAAUUCAUUCAAUUUAACAUAAUUUACACAUUUUGGCAAAAUUACACUUUUAACCACAUAAUUUCAAUAUUUCACAAUUUAAUCCCUAAUUUGCAUUUUCAUCAAAAAUCACUUUAUAAAACAUGAAAAUCUAUCAAAUAUUCAUAUUUCACCAUUAAACAUCAAAGAACACAUAAGCUCAUCAAUGGAAACUAUAUUUUGCGUAAAUAUCAACAAGCACUCAUUGUGUUCGAGGCUGUACGAGCCUUGAACGUCAUGUUUCAUUAGUUAAUUCAACAAAGGACAAAAACCAUUAAUUGCUCAUUGGCCAAUGACAGUUAAGAAAAUGUAUCAUUGAUUAGAACUGCGGUAUUGAAGCUCAGCGACAAUCUUCAUGCACCAUUUUGGGAUCAUAACAAGGGGAAGGGCAUGCUCACAAAUAAACAUAAUCGAGGUCUCACUAAAGAUAUUUCAUUUCUAUACACAUAAAUCAUGCAUCAUAAUUUAAAUUUUUACAUCAUUUCAUAUAUCCAAUACUCACCUAUAUUUUGCAUUAAAAUUUGAUAUCAAUGUCGUCGAUUUUCAUUUAAUUUACCAUACAAGAUCAUGCAACACGAUAGCUCAAUUUUAAGUACAUGACUUCUUGUCCAAUUUGUAACGGUACAACAACGACUCUAAUGUAUAGACGGGUUUGAAUAUCAUACACAUUUAAUCUUACUUAAACAAAACACUCCAGCGUAUUAAUUUCUAGCGUGCAUUUGGACAUGUUGAAUUCUAACAUGCGUUCGGACACUUAAAAAAAAAUCAGUAUACAUUCAAACAUUAAAUUUUCACUAGCUGACAGAAAAUAAUUUUCAGACAAUUUAGUUCCCUACAUCUUUUCAACAAAUGCUUGUUUCCUUAGCUUCAACCAAUAAUAAUGAGACAUUACUAAAACUGAAAUUUGGAAAUGUAAACCCUAAAUUAAACUGUUUUAAGCUCCAAAAUUUAAUACCUCUUCAAAAAUAAACCAAACAGAAAUGCAUGUUAAUUUCAACCAUAUUUAUAUUUUGCUUAUUUCCACAAAACAGGACAUUUAUCAACCAACAUUUUACCUUAAUUAGAACAGCAACAGAUCAAUUACACUAGGAUUUAUUGCACUAUAAAAUACGACAAUUACAUGCUGAAACUAUCAGCAUUCAACGACAGGUUUCAACACCAACUAUACAUUUAUUUAUCAACUCUUCUUCACUUCUAACACCAGUAUUUUGGUAACAAAUAACAUGUAUUUUUAACUACUAACUUUGCUUAACAGCCCUUAAAUUCGCGUUUUACCUGCAUGUAUUAAACACAUAAUAAACAUGGAAAAUUUUCAAGGUUUCAUUGCAAGGACUUACCGAACAGCAAC